GGAUGGGAGGGCAAUCUGGCUGUGACAUCUGUCACCCCAUUGAUUGCCAGGGUUGAUUCAGCUCAUCUGGCUGGCUAGGCGGGUGUCCCCUUCCUCAGUCACCACUCCAUGUGCAUCCCUCCCGAAGCUGAGCGCUUGGUCGAAGAGGAUAACCUUCCCUGAUACAGGAGGACCAUUCUUAGGUCAAGGGUAUACGAGUAGAGUAGCUGCACUCCCCUGAUAGAGCCUCCAAACAAGCUCUCAAGGUCCACUUGUUUUAGAACGUAGAGCAGUCAAGCUUCCAAGACUCCAGACACAUCCCAAUGAGGUGCUGCAUGUGGCAGUCUGCCUUUCAAA
Molecule: small nuclear RNA, 336 nt
Filed under: Ailuropoda melanoleuca (giant panda)
Lineage: Eukaryota; Metazoa; Chordata; Mammalia; Carnivora; Ursidae
Description: 7SK RNA
Rfam family: 7SK RNA
About the family: 7SK was discovered as an abundant small nuclear RNA in the mid-70s but a possible function has only recently been suggested. Two independent studies have found that 7SK RNA binds the CDK9/cyclin T complex (known as elongation factor P-TEFb).
Source: Rfam by way of RNAcentral